AUGAACGCUGGCGGCGUGCCUAAUACAUGCAAGUCGAGCGAACAGACGAGGAGCUUGCUCCUCUGACGUUAGCGGCGGAUGGGUGAGUAACACGUGGAUAACCUACCUAUAAGACUGGGAUAACUUCGGGAAACCGGAGCUAAUACCGGAUAAUAUAUUGAACCGCAUGGUUCAAUAGUGAAAGACGGUUUUGCUGUCACUUAUAGAUGGAUCCGCGCCGCAUUAGCUAGUUGGUAAGGUAACGGCUUACCAAGGCAACGAUGCGUAGCCGACCUGAGAGGGUGAUCGGCCACACUGGAACUGAGACACGGUCCAGACUCCUACGGGAGGUAGCAGUAGGGAAUCUUCCGCAAUGGGCGAAAGCCUGACGGAGCAACGCCGCGUGAGUGAUGAAGGUCUUCGGAUCGUAAAACUCUGUUAUUAGGGAAGAACAAAUGUGUAAGUAACUAUGCACGUCUUGACGGUACCUAAUCAGAAAGCCACGGCUAACUACGUG
This 496-nucleotide ribosomal RNA is filed under the name uncultured bacterium. Its description in RNAcentral is "partial 16S ribosomal RNA". It matches the Rfam family "Bacterial small subunit ribosomal RNA", at positions 29 to 507 of the family's 1533-position model. The record is from RNAcentral.